GAUGAACGCUGGCGGCGUGCCUAAUACAUGCAAGUAGAACGCUGAAGCUUGGUGCUUGCACCGAGCGGAUGAGUUGCGAACGGGUGAGUAACGCGUAGGUAACCUGCCUGGUAGCGGGGGAUAACUAUUGGAAACGAUAGCUAAUACCGCAUAACAGUAGAUAUUGCAUGAUAUCUGCUUGAAAGGGGCAAUUGCUCCACUACCAGAUGGACCUGCGUUGUAUUAGCUAGUUGGUGAGGUAACGGCUCACCAAGGCGACGAUACAUAGCCGACCUGAGAGGGUGAUCGGCCACACUGGGACUGAGACACGGCCCAGACUCCUACGGGAGGCAGCAGUAGGGAAUCUUCGGCAAUGGACGGAAGUCUGACCGAGCAACGCCGCGUGAGUGAAGAAGGUUUUCGGAUCGUAAAGCUCUGUUGUAAGAGAAGAACGAGUGUGAGAGUGGAAAGUUCACACUGUGACGGUAUCUACCAGAAAGG
Molecule: ribosomal RNA, 480 nt
Filed under: Streptococcus sp. oral taxon 066
Lineage: Bacteria; Bacillati; Bacillota; Bacilli; Lactobacillales; Streptococcaceae
Description: bacterial SSU rRNA
Rfam family: Bacterial small subunit ribosomal RNA
Source: RNAcentral